This 443-nucleotide ribosomal RNA is filed under the name uncultured bacterium. RNAcentral describes it as "partial 16S ribosomal RNA". It matches the Rfam family "Bacterial small subunit ribosomal RNA", at positions 338 to 795 of the family's 1533-position model. The record is from RNAcentral.
ACUACGGGUGGCAGCAGUGGGGAAUAUUGGACAAUGGGCGCAAGCCUGACGCAGCAACGCCGCGUGAAGGAAGAAGGCUUUCGGGUUGUAAACUUCUUUUGUCAGGGACGAAGCAAGUGACGGUACCUGACGAAUAAGCCACGGCUAACUACGUGCCAGCAGCCGCGGUAAUACGUAGGUGGCAAGCGUUAUCCGGAUUUACUGGGCGUAAAGGGCGCGUAGGCGGGACUGCAAGUCAGAUGUGAAAACCACGGGCUCAACCUGUGGACUGCAUUUGAAACUGUAGUGCUUGAGUACUGGAGAGGCAGAUGGAAUUCCGAGUGUAGCGGUGAAAUGCGUAGAGAUUAGGAGGAAUACCAGUGGCGAAGGCGGUCUGCUGGACAGCAACUGACGCUGAGGUGCGAAAGCGUGGGGAGCAAACAGGAUUAGAUACCCGUGUAGUC